RNAcentral lists this transfer RNA (85 nucleotides) under Aquicella lusitana. Its description in RNAcentral is "tRNA-Cys". The record is from RNAcentral. Lineage: Bacteria; Pseudomonadati; Pseudomonadota; Gammaproteobacteria; Legionellales; Coxiellaceae.
UCUGGCAAUACGUCAGGAUACCAGGGUUGUAAACGUUGCAAGUGUUUAGUAAUCCAGCUUCUGUUCUCUUCCAGAAUUGCGGGAA